GGGGACUACCCGGGUAUCUAAUCCUGUUUGCUCCCCACGCUUUCGUGCCUCAGCGUCAGUACCGAGCCAGUGAGCCGCCUUCGCCACUGGUGUUCCUCCGAAUAUCUACGAAUUUCACCUCUACACUCGGAAUUCCACUCACCUCUCUCGGACUCGAGAUUGCCAGUAUUAGAGGCAGUUCCAGGGUUGAGCCCUGGGAUUUCACCCCUAACUUAACAAUCCGCCUACGUGCGCUUUACGCCCAGUAAUUCCGAACAACGCUAGCCCCCUUCGUAUUACCGCGGCGGCUGGCAC
This 294-nucleotide unclassified non-coding RNA is filed under the name uncultured Alphaproteobacteria bacterium. RNAcentral describes it as "contains 16S-23S intergenic spacer region". The record is from RNAcentral. Lineage: Bacteria; Pseudomonadati; Pseudomonadota; Alphaproteobacteria.